CCUAACACAUGCAAGUCGAGCGGUAGAGAGGUGCUUGCACCUCUUGAGAGCGGCGGACGGGUGAGUAAUGCCUAGGAAUCUGCCUGGUAGUGGGGGAUAACGCUCGGAAACGGACGCUAAUACCGCAUACGUCCUACGGGAGAAAGCAGGGGACCUUCGGGCCUUGCGCUAUCAGAUGAGCCUAGGUCGGAUUAGCUAGUUGGUGAGGUAAUGGCUCACCAAGGCGACGAUCCGUAACUGGUCUGAGAGGAUGAUCAGUCACACUGGAACUGAGACACGGUCCAGACUCCUACGGGAGGCAGCAGUGGGGAAUAUUGGACAAUGGGCGAAAGCCUGAUCCAGCCAUGCCGCGUGUGUGAAGAAGGUCUUCGGAUUGUAAAGCACUUUAAGUUGGGAGGAAGGGCAUUAACCUAAUACGUUAGUGUUUUGACGUUACCGACAGAAUAAGCACCGGCUAACUCUGUGCCAGCAGCCGCGGUAAUACAGAGGGUGCAAGCGUUAAUCGGAAUUACUGGGCGUAAAGCGCGCGUAGGUG
This 535-nucleotide ribosomal RNA is filed under the name Pseudomonas fluorescens. Its description in RNAcentral is "bacterial SSU rRNA". It matches the Rfam family "Bacterial small subunit ribosomal RNA", at positions 47 to 577 of the family's 1533-position model. Lineage: Bacteria; Pseudomonadati; Pseudomonadota; Gammaproteobacteria; Pseudomonadales; Pseudomonadaceae. The record is from RNAcentral.